UUGCAUGGAAGUGGCAUGAGAGAAGUAGGUGGCCAGAAGGAAGAGUAGGUGCAGUUUGUCUUUUUAGAGCAACCACUACUUAUUCCAAACAAAUGUCAGAUUGUGGCUGACUUAGACUCUAAUUAAAUGCUUUACUCUAAAAAACAACAACUCAUAGUUAUUUUGUGAAACAGUAAAAUGCCAGUAUUUUUUUCUCUUCAAAAUGUUUAAUGCAUAAUACACCUCACCUGCACAAACUGGGGAAGAAAGUCAGCAAGUUCAUCAUCAUUUAUUGCCUCAAUCCACUGCACAGCUUUUGUUCUUACUUCCUGAUCUGCAAAACUAUAAUGCAAAAAAUAACCACUAAUGAAAAACAGGUUGCUUACCUGUAACAGAUGAUCUCUGUGGGGAUCCAUAGUCACUCACAACUGGGUCUUCUGUGCCUGCGCAGGAGUCCUGUGGAGGAAUCUAUAGCUCCAAUUAGGUGCUCUCUGUCUCUUUAAAGCAUAGGGAUACCGGAGCCUAUAAAGCAGACUGUAGAGUGCCUCCAGUUCCUGAAUCGGCCGCUGCGAAGAGACUGACAUUGAGAGAAGAACACCAUGAAAAAACUACAGGUUCGAUCUGAAGAUAGAGAACAGCCACAUUUGAAGUCUCCGCAUUCGAAGACUGGCGUUGGCCACCGUCGUGGUGCAUGAGGCCAUCAGGCCCAGAAGGUGCUGUAUGGAGCGGGCCCUCUGCCUGGGUGAGGCCUGGAAAGCUGCAACCAGGGCUGAAAUGGAGUGGAUGUGUUCGAUGGUGUUGGAAGAGGCAUUUGGAGAACUGUCAGGAGCCUCGUCUAAAGAUGCUCCUAUCUUGAGAAGGUUUAUAUUCUGUAAUGCAGCCUGAGGAAUAAGGGGAAAGGAGCAUACCUUCCAUGAGGCAGCACAAGUGGUGGACGAGAAGGAACUGAAGAGGGAGGCACUCUACAGUCUGCUCUAUAGGCUCUGUUAUUCCUACACCUUAUAGGGACAGAGAGCGCCUAAUCGAAGCUAUAAAUUCCUCAGUGGGACUCCCGUACAGAUGACCCAGUUGUGAGGAUCCCUACAGAGAUCUGUAUUUAAUUUAAGUGUGAAAAGAAUAUACAUCCCUAGAAAGUUUUUGAACAAAUGCCGCUGUAUCUAUUGAGGAAGAAUCUGAAUCAGUUCUCAGUCCACAUCUGCAGGGGGGCUCAGUAAAUUUUCUUGAGAACUCUCAAGAACCCUCACUGUGCCGGGACUGCUAAAGCAAUUCAGCAAAUGCAUAAGCUAAAGUCACUCUUCGAAUCAUCAGAAAAGAUAUAUUGGCUGACACUAUAGGCAGUGACCUGUUGAUGUGAUCAGCUGUGUUCAGACAGAAAGCCUUCAGAGUAGUUGCUCUGCAAGUCUGAUGGGCAGGGAUCUUCACACAACCCUCAAGGACUUAUCUCUGGCAGCAAACACCACUUUUGCGGGAAGGGGAGAGAAUUGAAAAUCCAAUCCCCUCUCAUUCUCAUUCUCUGCAUGUUCCCCUGCCCAUCAGACUUGCAGGGCAACUUCUCUGAAGGCUCCUUACCUCAAGACAGUUCUGAUCCCAUCAACAGGCCACUGUCAUCAUGUCAGGCACUGGAUUGGACUACACAAAUAAAAGUGACUAAUAAUUAUCUCUCUCUAUAAAAACGACAAGAAAGGACACAAUAUCCUGUCAUCUUUCAUUCUGCUUUGAAGGCCUGUUGAUCAGAUCUUGAACACAGUUCUAUAUACUGAUUAUCAGCUUAACAUUGGCCUAACAUCCUCCAAAUGCUAACAUUAACAACAUGGUUUGCGUACGUUCUGGUUUCCGAUUCCCGAACAUGUAUUUUUUGACAUAACAUAGUACCCUCAGGAUCAAGCUGCAAGUUUAGUAAAUUAAUGAUUUAGAACUGUAACACUUACAAAGAGAAGAAGCAU
Molecule: long non-coding RNA, 1922 nt
Organism: Hemicordylus capensis (graceful crag lizard)
Lineage: Eukaryota; Metazoa; Chordata; Lepidosauria; Squamata; Cordylidae
Exons: 4
Source: RefSeq, a predicted model, not a curated record